CCCCAACCCACACAACGCCGCCGCAAGGAACCUCUUCCCUCCUCUCGCUCGCUCGGUGGUGAAUCCUCUCUUCCUUGAUCGAAUGGGGCGCGCGAGGGAGCCGAUCCGCGUGAGGUGAUCCAGCGCGGCGCGCUCCAGUCGAGGCGCGCGAGGGGAGACGAGGCACGCGAGAGGAUCCAGUGGACAUGCAGGAGGCGGGUGAAUCGGGGGUCGGCCGAUCGAGCUGAUGCGGGCGAUCCAAUUGCGAAGAAGCCAUGGUUUACGCUUAGGGUCGCGCACGUCCUACACUGUGGGCAUACCGGCAGCCUACCUGCUAGACUAUAAGUGCUGCACGUUGGCGUGAUGGCCGGUCCCGUUGUUCUUGGCCAUCACAUUCCACACCAACUGGCAGAAUGAGGCUGUGCAACUGACCGAAGCAAAAGAAAAGGACUUCAGGUGCUGAUUCUAAUUGGGUCCCAUAAAGUGCCUCUCUAUUGGUAACUUUGCACCUAGGAGUAGGAAUAUGCAAAC
Molecule: long non-coding RNA, 510 nt
Organism: Triticum dicoccoides
Lineage: Eukaryota; Viridiplantae; Streptophyta; Magnoliopsida; Poales; Poaceae
Exons: 4
Source: RefSeq, a predicted model, not a curated record